UCCGUAGGCGGGUUUAUAAGUCAGUGGUGAAAGUUUGCGGCUCAACCGUAAAAUUGCCAUUGAUACUGUAGACCUUGAAUUAGUGUGAAGUGGUUAGAAUGUGUAGUGUAGCGGUGAAAUGCAUAGAUAUUACACAGAAUACCAAUUGCGAAGGCAGAUCACUAACACUAUAUUGACGCUGAGGGACGAAAGCGUGGGGAGCGAACAGGAUUAGAUACCCUGGUAGUCC
This 229-nucleotide ribosomal RNA is filed under the name uncultured bacterium. RNAcentral's name for it is "partial 16S ribosomal RNA". It matches the Rfam family "Bacterial small subunit ribosomal RNA", at positions 568 to 796 of the family's 1533-position model. The record is from RNAcentral.